RNAcentral lists this ribosomal RNA (429 nucleotides) under Pseudomonadota bacterium. Its description in RNAcentral is "Proteobacteria bacterium partial 16S ribosomal RNA". It matches the Rfam family "Bacterial small subunit ribosomal RNA", at positions 355 to 776 of the family's 1533-position model. Lineage: Bacteria; Pseudomonadati; Pseudomonadota. The record is from RNAcentral.
UGGGGAAUAUUGGACAAUGGGCGAAAGCCUGAUCCAGCCAUGCCGCGUGUGUGAAGAAGGUCUUCGGAUUGUAAAGCACUUUAAGUUGGGAGGAAGGGCAGUAAGCGAAUACCUUGCUGUUUUGACGUUACCGACAGAAUAAGCACCGGCUAACUCUGUGCCAGCAGCCGCGGUAAUACAGAGGGUGCAAGCGUUAAUCGGAAUUACUGGGCGUAAAGCGCGCGUAGGUGGUUCGUUAAGUUGAAUGUGAAAGCCCCGGGCUCAACCUGGGAACUGCAUCCAAAACUGGCGAGCUAGAGUAGGGCAGAGGGUGGUAGAAUUUCCUGUGUAGCGGUGAAAUGCGUAGAUAUAGGAGGGAACACCAGUGGCGAAGGCGACCACCUGGGCUCAUACUGACACUGAGGUGCGAAAGCGUGGGGAGCAAACAGG